AUGGAGACGUAUCUGCCUGCGUUUCGGAGGCCUGACCCGCUGCCAGCACCCGUGAGCGGACCAGCCAUUGGCUCCUGGACAAGCACCCGCUUCUCCCACCUGCCUGCUCUCCAGCUCCGCCUGCUCUCAGGAACCUGCCCCACCACCACCCCCCCGCCCCCAGCCUGCUCCCUCCUCUUCAUCAACCCUCUGCUUCUUGCCCUUCUCUCCUUCUUCAGUUUCGACUCUGGGAUCUGUUAUCACCUUGCUCUGGCCAAUCCCUUUGUAUUUCCUAUGAAGUGGAGCCAGAAGCCAUCAGCCCUGGAGGGACACGAGCACCUCUUCCCCCUCAACCUGCAGGGAGAUGUGUUCCUGAGCACCAGGAUCAACAGGCCCCAACGCUGCCAGCGCCUGUGCUCCGUCUGUCCCUUCAGCUCGCUCUGCACCGCCCGUCUCCACGCUCACCUCUCCCGAGGGGACGGCUCUUAGGCCUCCUUCCAGC
Bubalus bubalis (water buffalo) is the source of this 481-nucleotide long non-coding RNA. RefSeq lists it as uncharacterized. NCBI's taxonomy places the organism in Eukaryota, Metazoa, Chordata, Mammalia, Artiodactyla, Bovidae. The transcript has 2 exons. The record is from RefSeq and is a predicted model, not a curated record.